AGAGGAGUGGCGGAGUGGUCGAACGCGGCGGUCUUGAAAACCGUUGUACCGCAAGGUACCGGGGGUUCGAAUCCCUCCUCCUCUGC
Molecule: transfer RNA, 86 nt
Filed under: Roseivirga thermotolerans
Lineage: Bacteria; Pseudomonadati; Bacteroidota; Cytophagia; Cytophagales; Roseivirgaceae
Description: tRNA-Ser
Rfam family: tRNA
About the family: Transfer RNA (tRNA) molecules are approximately 80 nucleotides in length. Their secondary structure includes four short double-helical elements and three loops (D, anti-codon, and T loops).
Source: RNAcentral